RNAcentral lists this ribosomal RNA (217 nucleotides) under uncultured bacterium. Its description in RNAcentral is "partial 16S ribosomal RNA". It matches the Rfam family "Bacterial small subunit ribosomal RNA", at positions 114 to 334 of the family's 1533-position model. The record is from RNAcentral.
UGCCUAGGAAAUUGCCUUGAUGUGGGGGAUAACCAUUGGAAACGAUGGCUAAUACCGCAUAAUGCCUACGGGCCAAAGAGGGGGAUCUUCGGACCUCUCGCGUCAAGAUAUGCCUAGGUGGGAUUAGCUAGUUGGUGAGGUAAUGGCUCACCAAGGCGACGAUCCCUAGCUGGUCUGAGAGGAUGAUCAGCCACACUGGAACUGAGACACGGUCCAG